RNAcentral lists this ribosomal RNA (447 nucleotides) under uncultured Burkholderia sp. RNAcentral describes it as "bacterial SSU rRNA". It matches the Rfam family "Bacterial small subunit ribosomal RNA", at positions 195 to 637 of the family's 1533-position model. The record is from RNAcentral. Lineage: Bacteria; Pseudomonadati; Pseudomonadota; Betaproteobacteria; Burkholderiales; Burkholderiaceae.
GGGGAUCUUAGGACCUCUCGCUACAGGGGCGGCCGAUGGCAGAUUAGCUAGUUGGUGGGGUAAAGGCCUACCAAGGCGACGAUCUGUAGCUGGUCUGAGAGGACGACCAGCCACACUGGGACUGAGACACGGCCCAGACUCCUACGGGAGGCAGCAGUGGGGAAUUUUGGACAAUGGGGGCAACCCUGAUCCAGCAAUGCCGCGUGUGUGAAGAAGGCCUUCGGGUUGUAAAGCACUUUUGUCCGGAAAGAAAACGCUCUGGUUAAUACCCGGGGCGGAUGACGGUACCGGAAGAAUAAGCACCGGCUAACUACGUGCCAGCAGCCGCGGUAAUACGUAGGGUGCAAGCGUUAAUCGGAAUUACUGGGCGUAAAGCGUGCGCAGGCGGUCCGCUAAGACAGAUGUGAAAUCCCCGGGCUUAACCUGGGAACUGCAUUUGUGACUGGC